RNAcentral lists this unclassified non-coding RNA (153 nucleotides) under Mycoleptodiscus sp. MU41. RNAcentral's name for it is "ITS2". Lineage: Eukaryota; Fungi; Ascomycota; Dothideomycetes; Muyocopronales; Muyocopronaceae. The record is from RNAcentral.
CGCCCCUCAAGCGCAAGCUUGGUGUUGGGGAUCGCCCCUGAGAUACGGCGGCGGCCCUUAAAUGCAUCGGCGGUGCUGGUGUCAGCCCGGAGCGCAGCAGACAUGCGGCUUCCAGGCGACCACGCGCCCGCCGGACAACGACCCGACUUUCAA